RNAcentral lists this ribosomal RNA (713 nucleotides) under uncultured Bacteroidales bacterium. RNAcentral's name for it is "bacterial SSU rRNA". It matches the Rfam family "Bacterial small subunit ribosomal RNA", at positions 68 to 773 of the family's 1533-position model. The record is from RNAcentral. Lineage: Bacteria; Pseudomonadati; Bacteroidota; Bacteroidia; Bacteroidales.
AGCAUGGUCUUAGCUUGCUAAGACUGAUGGCGACCGGCGCACGGGUGAGUAACACGUAUCCAACCUGCCGUCUACUCUUGGACAGCCUUCUGAAAGGAAGAUUAAUACAAGAUGGCAUCAUGAGUCCGCAUGUUCACAUGAUUAAAGGUAUUCCGGUAGACGAUGGGGAUGCGUUCCAUUAGAUAGUAGGCGGGGUAACGGCCCACCUAGUCUUCGAUGGAUAGGGGUUCUGAGAGGAAGGUCCCCCACAUUGGAACUGAGACACGGUCCAAACUCCUACGGGAGGCAGCAGUGAGGAAUAUUGGUCAAUGGGCGAGAGCCUGAACCAGCCAAGUAGCGUGAAGGAUGACUGCCCUAUGGGUUGUAAACUUCUUUUAUAAAGGAAUAAAGUCGGGUAUGUAUACCCGUUUGCAUGUACUUUAUGAAUAAGGAUCGGCUAACUCCGUGCCAGCAGCCGCGGUAAUACGGAGGAUCCGAGCGUUAUCCGGAUUUAUUGGGUUUAAAGGGAGCGUAGAUGGAUGUUUAAGUCAGUUGUGAAAGUUUGCGGCUCAACCGCAAAAUUGCAGUUGAUACUGGAUAUCUUGAGUGCAGUUGAGGCAGGCGGAAUUCGUGGUGUAGCGGUGAAAUGCUUAGAUAUCACGAAGAACUCCGAUUGCGAAGGCAGCCUGCUAAGCUGCAACUGACAUUGAGGCUCGAAAGUGUGGGUAUCAAAC